UACGGAGGAUUCAAGCGUUAUCCGGAUUUAUUGGGUUUAAGGGGUGCGAAGGCGGUCGGAUAAGUUAGAGGUGAAAUCCCGGGGCUCAACUUCGGAAUUGCCUCUGAUACUGUUCGGCUAGAGAGUAGUUGCGGUAGACGGAAUGUAUGGUGUAGCGGUGAAAUGCUUAGAGAUCAUACAGAACACCGAUUGCGAAGGCAGCUUACCAAGCUACUUCUGACGUUGAGGCACGAAAGCGUGGGGAGCAAACAGG
This 253-nucleotide ribosomal RNA is filed under the name uncultured bacterium. RNAcentral's name for it is "partial 16S ribosomal RNA". It matches the Rfam family "Bacterial small subunit ribosomal RNA", at positions 524 to 776 of the family's 1533-position model. The record is from RNAcentral.